UCGAACGCUGGCGGCGUGCUUAACACCUGCAAGUCGAACGGAAAGGCCCUGCUUUUGUGGGGUGCUCGAGUGGCGAACGGGUGAGUAACACGUGAGUAACCUGCCCUUGACUUUGGGAUAACUUCAGGAAACUGGGGCUAAUACCGGAUAGGAGCUCCUGCUGCAUGGUGGGGGUUGGAAAGUUUCGGCGGUUGGGGAUGGACUCGCGGCUUAUCAGCUUGUUGGUGGGGUAGUGGCUUACCAAGGCUUUGACGGGUAGCCGGCCUGAGAGGGUGACCGGCCACAUUGGGACUGAGAUACGGCCCAGACUCCUACGGGAGGCAGCAGUGGGGAAUAUUGCACAAUGGGCGGAAGCCUGAUGCAGCAACGCCGCGUGCGGGAUGACGGCCUUCGGGUUGUAAACCGCUUUCGCCUGUGACGAAGCGUGAGUGACGGUAAUGGGUAAAGAAGCACCGGCUAACUACGUG
RNAcentral lists this ribosomal RNA (467 nucleotides) under uncultured bacterium. RNAcentral's name for it is "partial 16S ribosomal RNA". It matches the Rfam family "Bacterial small subunit ribosomal RNA", at positions 30 to 507 of the family's 1533-position model. The record is from RNAcentral.